GUGGGGAAUCUUGCGCAAUGGGCGAAAGCCUGACGCAGCCAUGCCGCGUGAAUGAUGAAGGUCUUAGGAUUGUAAAAUUCUUUCACCGGGGACGAUAAUGACGGUACCCGGAGAAGAAGCUCCGGCUAACUUCGUGCCAGCAGCCGCGGUAAUACGAAGGGGGCUAGCGUUGCUCGGAAUUACUGGGCGUAAAGGGCGCGUAGGCGGACAGCUUAGUCAGAGGUGAAAGCCCAGGGCUCAACCUUGGAAUUGCCUUUGAUACUGGUUGUCUUGAGUUUGGGAGAGGUGAGUGGAACUCCGAGUGUAGAGGUGAAAUUCGUAGAUAUUCGGAAGAACACCAGUGGCGAAGGCGACUCACUGGCCCAAUACUGACGCUGAGGCGCGAAAGCGUGGGGAGCAAACAGGAUUAGAUACCCCAGUAGUCC
Molecule: ribosomal RNA, 425 nt
Filed under: uncultured bacterium
Lineage: Bacteria
Description: partial 16S ribosomal RNA
Rfam family: Bacterial small subunit ribosomal RNA
Source: RNAcentral